RNAcentral lists this ribosomal RNA (456 nucleotides) under uncultured cyanobacterium. RNAcentral's name for it is "bacterial SSU rRNA". It matches the Rfam family "Bacterial small subunit ribosomal RNA", at positions 8 to 508 of the family's 1533-position model. Lineage: Bacteria; Bacillati; Cyanobacteriota. The record is from RNAcentral.
AGGCUUUGAUCCUGGCUCAGGAUGAACGCUGGCGGUAUGCUUAACACAUGCAAGUCGAACGGUCUCUUCGGAGAUAGUGGCGGACGGGUGAGUAACGCGUGAGAAUCUGGCUCUAGGUCUGGGACAACAGAUGGAAACGUCUGCUAAUACCGGAUGUGCCGAGAGGUGAAAGGCUUGCUGCCUAGAGAUGAGCUCGCGUCAGAUUAGCUAGUUAGGUGGGGUAAAAGCCUACCUAGGCGACGAUCUGUAGCUGGUCUGAGAGGACGAUCAGCCACACUGGGACUGAGACACGGCCCAGACUCCUACGGGAGGCAGCAGUGGGGAAUUUUCCGCAAUGGGCGAAAGCCUGACGGAGCAAUACCGCGUGAGGGAGGAAGGCUCUUGGGUUGUAAACCUCUUUUCUCAAGGAAUAAAAAAUGAAGGUACUUGAGGAAUAAGCAUCGGCUACAUCCGUGC